RNAcentral lists this ribosomal RNA (486 nucleotides) under uncultured bacterium. Its description in RNAcentral is "bacterial SSU rRNA". It matches the Rfam family "Bacterial small subunit ribosomal RNA", at positions 28 to 523 of the family's 1533-position model. The record is from RNAcentral.
GAUGAACGCUGGCGGCGUGCCUAAUACAUGCAAGUCGAACGAGGUGCUUUUGUAGCAAUACGAGAGUAUCCUAGUGGCGAACGGGUGAGUAACGCGUUGGUGACCUACCCCAAAGUGUGGGAUAACAGUCCGAAAGGAUUGCUAAUACCGCAUGUGGUCUUCGGAUUUAGAAACUGAUGACUAAAGGAGCAAUUCGCUUUGGGAGGGACCUGCGUCCCAUCAGCUAGUUGGUGAGGUAAUGGCUCACCAAGGCUACGACGGGUAGGGGACCUGAGAGGGUGACCCCCCCACAAUGGAACUGAAACACGGUCCAUACACCUACGGGUGGCAGCAGUAGGGAAUAUUGCACAAUGGGCGAAAGCCUGAUGCAGCAACGCCGCGUGUGCGAUGAAGGCCUUCGGGUCGUAAAGCACUUUUCUGGGAGAUGAGCAAGGACAGUAUCUCAGGAAUAAGUCUCGGCUAACUACGUGCCAGCAGCCGCGGUAA